This 449-nucleotide ribosomal RNA is filed under the name uncultured bacterium. RNAcentral describes it as "bacterial SSU rRNA". It matches the Rfam family "Bacterial small subunit ribosomal RNA", at positions 28 to 457 of the family's 1533-position model. The record is from RNAcentral.
GAUGAACGCUGGCGGCGUGCUUAACACAUGCAAGUCGAACGAAGCACUCUAUUUGAUUUUCUUCGGAAAUGAAGAUUUUGUGACUGAGUGGCGGACGGGUGAGUAACGCGUGGGUAACCUGCCUCAUACAGGGGGAUAACAGUUGGAAACGACUGCUAAUACCGCAUAAGCGCACAGGAUUGCAUGAUCCGGUGUGAAAAACUCCGGUGGUAUGAGAUGGACCCGCGUCUGAUUAGCCAGUUGGCAGGGUAACGGCCUACCAAAGCGAUGAUCAGUAGCCGACCUGAGAGGGUGACCGGCCACAUUGGGACUGAGACACGGCCCAAACUCCUACGGGAGGCAGCAGUGGGGAAUAUUGCACAAUGGGGGAAACCCUGAUGCAGCGACGCCGCGUGAGCGAAGAAGUAUUUCGGUAUGUAAAGCUCUAUCAGCAGGGAAGAAGAAUGACG